This 1963-nucleotide ribosomal RNA is filed under the name Triticum aestivum (bread wheat). RNAcentral describes it as "partial small subunit ribosomal RNA". Lineage: Eukaryota; Viridiplantae; Streptophyta; Magnoliopsida; Poales; Poaceae. The record is from RNAcentral.
UUGGGCGCUAAGUAGACAAAGUAGAAUAGGUCUGAGGGGCAGGAGCGCCGCGAAAUGGAGCGCCGCGAGGCGAGGCGGGGCGGGGCGGGUGGAGGACGAUGCGGGGAGCGCGGCGGCCGGCGGAGGACGGGGCGAGGCGGGGAGUGGUGCGCGGCGGCCGGAAGAGGACGGAGGGUUAGGGUAGAGCGCCGAAAGAAGCGGCAAGUGGCGAGGGGAGGUGGAUGACCAGCGCUGGAGCACCCUCCGUCUCCUACCCUCCCACGCCGCGACCGCAGGCUGAGGUCCUCGAGCUCUCCCGGCUAGACGCGCAGCCGCUGGAGCGCCCUCCGUACCGCACCGCACAACGCGAGCUCUGCUCGCCCGAGCUCAUUCCCCUAACCUCCCACCGCGGCCGCCCUAGCACCUGCCCCUACCUCACCCGCCCACGGCCGUUCUAGCUCCGGCCCCUACCUCUCCCGCCAGCCGCUCGACCGCCGACUCCUACCUUCUCCGCCGUGAUUAAGAGACGAUGGGCGUGGCGUGGUGCAGGGAUCGAAGGAGGAGAGACUAGCUUGGCUCAGGCAAAAUGUUUCCCUAGGCCGCUGAUCUCCCCUCGACGGUGGCCACUGCGACGGCCUCUUCGACCGCUCCAAGGAGGUCUUCACGCGGCUUCCUCAAGGUCUUGCUCGGGGCCAUAUCGCCGCUGGCCACCAUGGAAGCGCCGACCCAAGGUCUACCACUCGACGGACAACGAUGAUGGUAUAAUAUCAUGACCGACUGAUGCACUCCCAAAGUCAAAUAGAUAUUUACCGUGUUCGACAAGUAAGUCGGCCAUGAUAUUAAACGACGAAGAUGGUUUAGUGUUCUAGUCAAAUAGGUACGAGUACCUUAAAGCACACAUCCCGAUGCUAAUGUUUGAGGCAACUAAUAAGUGCGAGACCAGCUACGAGACAGCCGUCGGGUGAUUGGUCCGUUGAGAUAGCAACUCCUGGCACACAUGGCGUCCUCCUAGGGACUACGAAACAACGAGGGCACUGGAAGUUAAACAACACACCGACAGAUGUUUGCAUGUCAUCGAAGUAAGUUUAAGAAAAAUCUUUAACGAUCUGCUUAAAAAAACAUCUCGACUCUCUUUUCUACGUAUCUGUUAUCUUAAUACAAGUCCAAACGUUAUUAAGCAAGAUAAACGAACGUUUGUUUAACGUGUUCGGCAAGUAAACAACCUACUACAAACGUACAUAAAGAUCGUUCAAUAUUUUUGACUACCUUCUACGAAACACAUAAGAAAACACACAGAUAGUCUUGUCCGUACCACCCUCCCGCUACGAGACAACUGACGAAAAGAAUAUUAUAAUGUCUCCCUCCUAGCUUCACCUCUAACCAUGAAAGGGAAAGUCGCCGGUUUCUUUUCGUUGUGAAAAAGUACACUAAAGUCUACUUUGCUGGUCUCACACAUUUUAGACCUAGCGAUGUUUGUCCAGUUCUUAUUGAAGAGGUUCGAGAGUCUUCUCUUCGUUAUUACACUGAGGGUCCACGGAGAGACUCUCUUUUCGACCUCUACGAAACGGUCACCGUUUUGUUUCCCUUCAUUAACGAUGCCUGCGGUCGGUCCACAAGUACGAUAACCUAAUUACAAAAGACGAGAAUUAUUACGAAGGCAAAAAGAAGAAAAUCUUGGGAAGAAAACAUGAGAAUGUUUAUCGUCUACUUUCCUCUUCCUACUUCUUCAGUUCGAUAACCUCUCUAGUUAACUCCUCGAGUUUUAUUGAAAUCACAAGAGUUUUCAUCGAAAUAAAUCAAACUCACUUAAAACACCGGAUUCACAACAUCGAUAAGUAAAACGGUGCGUAAGACUUACAAUCAUGUGUGGGUACAACCAUGUCUUGAGGAUAACAAUACGGACAGUACUGUUGUUGAAAAGGUCUAAAAACACGUAUUUGUAUGUAUACACCUGAUUUAAGAAAACAAUGAACGAGUCGGUUAU